GGCUCGCUGUGUAGGCUAGUUGUUCACCCCGCCGCCCAGGCAGGUCGCAGGUGAUGUGUCCUGUGGUGGACGCGCAGUUACAGGACAGCGAGUGGCAGUGUUACUUACGCACACUGUGACUGAGUGACUGACUGCGCGUUCAUCGCGACGCCCUGCUUUGUCUGAGGCUCUCCGGCUUGGAUUCGUUUGAUCCGGAGGGCAACGGAGCCCGCAACGUAAAGCAGCGAUCACCCCCCCUCUUUCCUCCAUCUCACUCUGCCACAAAACAGCCAUAAAUAAAUAUGAUGAUGUUGUUUUCCGCAAUAGCGCCGGCGGCAGCGCACGCAACUGAAGAAGAGCGAAAAAGUAGCAAUUAAUUAAGGCACAUUCAUUCACCCUUUUUUUCAUUUCUGCGCAUAAGGCUGUGUGAUACGAUUAAUAAAUCAACCACAUAUUAAUUAUAAGCCUUAUAACUUAGGCCGGGCGGCGCUGUGCGGUGUGAAAGGUUUGGCACGGAGCCCUAGAACCGUUAGGGCUGAGGCGGAUGAGCGCUUACUUUUGCUGCCCGUGGAAGCGCGAGCUGCGUGACACGCGCGCGCGCGCACACGCACACGCGCACACGGCCCCUCCGCGGCUCUGCCGCAAACGCCGCUUCGCAGAGCGCAGCAAACUUACAAACUUGACUGACUGCAGUCCGCUCGUGUGCGUUUCCACGGAACGGCUCCUUCCUUGUCUCAGAAAAGUGGGGGAAAUGGUACCCGGCAAUAAGAGACGGACACAUAAGAGUCAAUUAGGACGGUCUUCGGAUGAGGAAUCCUUUCUGAAGUCUGGCUUGGGUGGGAACACAAAUCCUGCCAGCGGAAGUUGGCAGAAGGGAGGCAGAAGUAUGAGAGACACCAGGCCCAAAGAAACUGUGAAGCCCAGCUUUGCUGUUCUCCUCGGGGUUGUUAUUUAGGGCUCCAAUCAGCAUAACUGGAGCUGAACAAGUUGCACAUGAAUUACAAAUGAAGAUCAUCAAGAUGGCCUGUCAGCAUUUUCAAAGCUGGUGCCACCCAUAAGUUGGAACACCUUGCCGAUCCGGGUGUUUGUGUGUGUAAUGUUUCUAUAUUACUGCUGCAGAGUAGUCAGCUGGGGUAAUACCAGUCGAACUGUCCCGAAUCCCAUCAGUGCAAUCACAUAUCCACCAUCAUAUGGCAAAUCUCAGCAUGCAACUCACAGCAUUAACAGUGUACCCCUUUCCAGUGAACGUAUGAGUCAGACCUACCAUGUGGUCUUUUUGAACAGCGAGUACUGAUUCACGUGGAGCUAACAGGGUUUUCAAUAGCAACAACUACAAGUACAGUUCCCAAAUACAUAAUGAACUUAGCAACUAAUUAGGACCAGAUUACCACAUGCCUAAUAUAACAAAGAUGAGAGCCCUUACAUCAUUGUUGUCCACUUCAUGAAGCAAUCCAGCCUUUACUUUUGUGUUUUCUUGAAACACAAUAAAUACUGUGGUGCGUAGCA
This 1485-nucleotide long non-coding RNA is filed under the name Scleropages formosus (Asian bonytongue). RNAcentral describes it as "lncRNA (ENSSFOG00015028309.1)". The record is from RNAcentral. Lineage: Eukaryota; Metazoa; Chordata; Actinopteri; Osteoglossiformes; Osteoglossidae.